CCUACGGGUGGCAGCAGUGAGGAAUAUUGGUCAAUGGGCGGAAGCCUGAACCAGCCAAGUCGCGUGAGGGAAUACGGCCCUACGGGUUGUAAACCUCUUUUGCCGGGGAGCAAGCCCGGGGACGUGUCCCGGCCCGGAGAGUACCCGGAGAAAAAGCAUCGGCUAACUCCGUGCCAGCAGCCGCGGUAAUACGGGGGAUGCGAGCGUUAUCGGGAUUUAUUGGGUUAAAAGGGUGCGAGGGCGUGCUAUUAAGUCGACGGUAAAAAUUCGGGGCUCAACCCCGUCCGGCCGUUGAAACUGGGGGCCUUGAGUGGGCGAGAAGAAGGCGGAAUGCGUGGUGUAGCGGUGAAAUGCAUAGAUAUCACGCAGAACCCCGAUUGCGAAGGCAGCCUUCCGGCGCCCUACUGACGCUGAGGCACGAAAGUGCGGGGAUCGAACAGGAUUAGAUACCCUAGUAGUC
RNAcentral lists this ribosomal RNA (460 nucleotides) under uncultured bacterium. RNAcentral describes it as "partial 16S ribosomal RNA". It matches the Rfam family "Bacterial small subunit ribosomal RNA", at positions 338 to 795 of the family's 1533-position model. The record is from RNAcentral.